Non-coding RNA from Erythranthe guttata (spotted monkey flower), 719 nucleotides. NCBI's taxonomy places the organism in Eukaryota, Viridiplantae, Streptophyta, Magnoliopsida, Lamiales, Phrymaceae. The record is from RefSeq and is a predicted model, not a curated record.
GGUGUGAAUUUCAGCCUGCUCGCCGGAAAGGGAAAUAAAAUCUGCUACGCAUCUGUUUUCGGAGCCAAAAUCGAAGGGUUUGGAGUGUGAAUUUGGGAAUCAUUCCUUCUCGAAAAUCGUAGAGGACCUCGAAAACUGUGAGUGUGUCAUUCGUGGUUGUGUACCUAAGAAAAUUUUGGUCUAUGAUGUUGCUUUUGGUGCUAACUCGAGCUAUGUUGGCGAAAUUCUGAGAAAUAGUAAACCUUCUGCCGCACCUGUUUUCGGAGCCGAAAUCGAAGGGUUUGGAGUGAGAUUUUCGAAUCAGUCUCUUCACAAAAGUCGUCGAGGACCGUGAUAAUUAUAUGUAAGUGUUAAAUUGCUUCUAAUUCGAGCAAGUUUUAUAGCCUUUUAGAGAUGAGAAUUUGACGGCAGUGAGUCUGCCAAAAACAGGGCAGUUUUGAUGAAUCAUCUUCGUUGGGUUUUAUUACCAUCUUAGGAUAAUAAUUUGGGAUAUAUUUCUUAAGUAAACUUUUAGAUGAAGUUGUCAGCUUUGAUUUGGUAUAUUGUUUGGCCAAUUUGGAUAACUUUGCAAAUACUUAUGAAUUUUACAAUAAACUGUACCAGAAAAGAGAAUUUAUCCGAAAUUCUGGCAGUUUUCUGUAAUCAUCUUUUGGGCCUGUUUUGCAUAUGCUGGGAUCAUAAUUUGUGAUCAGAGUCUUCAGUGAACAUGUAGAUGCAGU